UAAGGAAUAUUGGACAAUGGUCGGAAGACUGAUCCAGCCAUGCCGCGUGAAGGAAGAAGGCGCUCAGCGUUGUAAACUUCUUUUGGACGGGAAUAACAACUUCCACGUGUUGGGAGCCUGAAGGUACCGUCAGAAUAAGCACCGGCUAACUCCGUGCCAGCAGCCGCGGUAAUACGGAGGGUGCGAGCGUUAUCCGGAAUCACUGGGUUUAAAGGGUGCGUAGGCGGUUUGAUAAGUCAGUUGUGAAAUACCCCGGCUUAACCGGCGGUCGUGCGAUUGAUACUGUUGAACUUGAAUCGGGUUGAGGCAGGCGGAAUGUGGCAUGUAGCGGUGAAAUGCAUAGAUAUGCCAUAGAACACCAAUUGCGAAGGCAGCUUGCUGGGCCCGUAUUGACGCUGAGGCACGAAAGCGUGGGGAGCAAACAGG
Molecule: ribosomal RNA, 426 nt
Filed under: uncultured Saprospiraceae bacterium
Lineage: Bacteria; Pseudomonadati; Bacteroidota; Saprospiria; Saprospirales; Saprospiraceae
Description: bacterial SSU rRNA
Rfam family: Bacterial small subunit ribosomal RNA
Source: RNAcentral